GAUCCUGGCUCAGAAUCAACGCUGGCGGCGUGCCUAACACAUGCAAGUCGAACGAGAAAGGGUAGCAAUACCUGAGUAAAGUGGCGCACGGGUGAGUAACACGUGACUAACCUACCCUGGAGUGGGGAAUAACUGAGGGAAACCUUAGCUAAUACCGCAUAAUACCUACGGGAGGCAGSAGAAAUUCGCUUCAGGAGGGGGUCGCGGCCGAUUARUUAGUUGGCGGGGUAAUGGCCCACCAAGACAGUGAUCGGUAUCCGGCCUGAKAGGGCCCACGGACACACUGGAACUGAAACACGGUCCAGACUCCUACGGGAGGCAGCAG
This 325-nucleotide ribosomal RNA is filed under the name Acidobacteria bacterium enrichment culture clone C06_08_S38. RNAcentral describes it as "bacterial SSU rRNA". It matches the Rfam family "Bacterial small subunit ribosomal RNA", at positions 15 to 354 of the family's 1533-position model. Lineage: Bacteria; Pseudomonadati; Acidobacteriota. The record is from RNAcentral.